Molecule: ribosomal RNA, 426 nt
Filed under: uncultured Actinomycetes bacterium
Lineage: Bacteria; Bacillati; Actinomycetota; Actinomycetes
Description: bacterial SSU rRNA
Rfam family: Bacterial small subunit ribosomal RNA
Source: RNAcentral
AGUAGGGAAUCUUGCGCAAUGGGCGAAAGCCUGACGCAGCGACGCCGCGUGCGGGAAGAAGGCCUUCGGGUUGUAAACCGCUUUCAGGAGGGACGAAGCCACUCGGGUGAACAGCCCAGAGGGUGACGGUACCUCCAGAAGAAGCCCCGGCUAACUACGUGCCAGCAGCCGCGGUAAUACGUAGGGGGCAAGCGUUGUCCGGAUUCAUUGGGCGUAAAGAGCGUGUAGGCGGCCAGGUAGGUCGGUUGUGAAAACUGGAGGCUCAACCUUCAGAGGUCGACCGAAACCCCCUGGCUAGAGUCCGGGAGAGGAGAGUGGAAUUCCUGGUGUAGCGGUGAAAUGCGCAGAUAUCAGGAAGAACACCCGUGGCGAAAGCGGCUCUCUAGAACGGUACUGACGCUGAGACGCGAAAGCGUGGGGAGCGAA